This 332-nucleotide unclassified non-coding RNA is filed under the name soil metagenome. RNAcentral describes it as "partial contains 5.8S ribosomal RNA, internal transcribed spacer 2, and large subunit ribosomal RNA". The stretch from base 1 to 120 matches the Rfam family "5.8S ribosomal RNA", at positions 35 to 154 of the family's 154-position model. The record is from RNAcentral.
GAUGAAGAACGCAGCGAAAUGCGAUAAGUAGUGUGAAUUGCAGAAUUCAGUGAAUCAUCGAAUCUUUGAACGCACAUUGCGCCCUUUGGUAUUCCUUAGGGCAUGCCUGUUCGAGCGUCAUUUAAACCUUCAAGCUAAGCUUGGUGUUGGGUGACUGUCCGCUUCACGGCGGACUCGCCUCAAAAUUAUUGGCGGCCGGUACAUUGGCUUCGAGCGCAGCAGAAACGCGAACUCGGGCCCGUCGUAUUGGCUCCCAGAAGCUAUCUUCAAAAUUUUGACCUCGGAUCAGGUAGGGAUACCCGCUGAACUUAAGCAUAUCAAUAAGCGGAGGA